This 494-nucleotide ribosomal RNA is filed under the name uncultured bacterium. RNAcentral describes it as "partial 16S ribosomal RNA". It matches the Rfam family "Bacterial small subunit ribosomal RNA", at positions 28 to 507 of the family's 1533-position model. The record is from RNAcentral.
GACGAACGCUGGCGGCGUGCUUAACACAUGCAAGUCGAACGGAAAGGCCUGCUUUCCCUUGUGGAUUGCGGGUACUCGAGUGGCGAACGGGUGAGUAACACGUGAGUGAUCUGCCCCCAACUUGGGUAUAAGCCUGGGAAACUGGGUCUAAUUCCCGAUAGGACUGCAGGGUGGUGCCUGUGGUGGAAAACGAUUUUCUAGUGGUUGGGGAUGAGCUCGCGGCCUAUCAGCUUGUUGGUGGGGUAAUGGCCUACCAAGGCGGCGACGGGUAGCCGGCCUGGGAGGGUGGACGGCCACAUUGGGACUGAGAUACGGCCCAGACUCCUACGGGAGGCAGCAGUGGGGAAGAUGGCACAAUGGGCGGAAGCCUGAGGCAGCGACGCCGCGUGGGGGAUGACGGCCUUCGGGUGGUAAACUCCUUUCGACCGCGAGGAAGCCACCUGGUUGGAAGGGUGGUGACGGUAGUGGUAGAAGAAGCACCGGCUAACUACGUG